GACGAACGCUGGCGGCGUGCUUAACACAUGCAAGUCGAACGAUGAAGCUGGAGCUUGCUCCGGUGGAUUAGUGUCGAACGGGUGAGUAACACGUGAGAAAUCUGCCCUUCACUCUGGGAUAACUGCGGGAAACUGUAGCUAAUACCGGAUACUUUCCCUGGUGGGCAUCCACUAGGGAAGAAAGAAUUUCGGUGAAGGAUGAUCUCGCGGCCUAUCAGCUAGUUGGUGAGGUAAUGGAUCACCAAGGCGACGACGGGUAGACGGCCUGAGAGGGUGCCAGGCCACACUGGGACUGAGACACGGCCCAGACUCCUACGGGAGGCAGCAGUGGGGAAUAUUGCACAAUGGCCGAAGGCCUGAUGCAGCAACGCCGCGUGAGGGAUGAAGGCCUUCGGGUUGUAAACCUCUUUUAGCAGGGAAGAAGCGAAAGUGACGGUACCUGAAGAAAAAGCACCGGCUAACUACGUGCCAGCCGCCGCCGUAA
Molecule: ribosomal RNA, 484 nt
Filed under: uncultured bacterium
Lineage: Bacteria
Description: partial 16S ribosomal RNA
Rfam family: Bacterial small subunit ribosomal RNA
Source: RNAcentral